GAUGAACGCUGGCGGCGUGCCUAAUACAUGCAAGUCGAGCGAACGGACGAGAAGCUUGCUUCUCUGAUGUUAGCGGCGGACGUGUGAGUAACACGUGGAUAACCUACCUAUAAGACUGGGAUAACUUCGGGAAACCGGAGCUAAUACCGGAUAAUAUUUUGAACCGCAUGGUUCAAAAGUUAAAUACGGUCUUGCUGUCACUUAUAGAUGUAUCCGCGCUGCAUUAUCUAGUUGGUAAGGUAGCGGCUUACCAAGGCAACGAUGCAUAUCCGACGUGAGAGGGGGAUAGGCAAAACAGGAACUGAGAAACGGAACAGAAAACGAGGGGAGGAAGAAGUAGGGAAGGUGCAGAAAAGGGCGAAAGACUGACGGAGAAACGCCGGGUGAGUGAAGAAGGUCUUCGGAUCGUAAAAAGCUGUUAUUAGGGAAGAACAUAUGUGUAAGUAACUGUGAAAAUAUGGACGGUACCAAAUAAGAAAGCCACGGCUAACUACGU
Molecule: ribosomal RNA, 496 nt
Filed under: uncultured bacterium
Lineage: Bacteria
Description: partial 16S ribosomal RNA
Rfam family: Bacterial small subunit ribosomal RNA
Source: RNAcentral